This 292-nucleotide ribosomal RNA is filed under the name uncultured bacterium. RNAcentral's name for it is "partial 16S ribosomal RNA". It matches the Rfam family "Bacterial small subunit ribosomal RNA", at positions 505 to 796 of the family's 1533-position model. The record is from RNAcentral.
GUGCCAGCAGCCGCGGUAAGACGAACCGUGCGAACGUUGUUCGGAUUCACUGGGCUUAAAGGGCGCGUAGGCGGACCCAAAAGUCCGGGGUGAAAUCGUUCGGCUUAACCGGACAAUUGCCUUGGAUACUGUGGGUCUCGAGGGAGGUAGGGGCAUGCGGAACUUCCGGUGGAGCGGUGAAAUGCGUUGAUAUCGGAAGGAACUCCGGUGGCGAAAGCGGCGUGCUGGAUCUCUUCUGACGCUGAGGCGCGAAAGCCAGGGGAGCAAACGGGAUUAGAAACCCUUGUAGUCC